CCACCUGUGGCUCAGUUGGUAGAGCAUGGUGUUUGCAACGCCAACAUGGUGUGUGCAACGCCAGGGUCGUGGGUUCGAUUCCCACGGGGGA
Molecule: non-coding RNA, 91 nt
Organism: Salmo salar (Atlantic salmon)
Lineage: Eukaryota; Metazoa; Chordata; Actinopteri; Salmoniformes; Salmonidae
Source: Rfam